AUGGCGCCCAAGGCCGAGAAGAAGCCUGCUGCAGAGAAGAAGUUGGUGAAGUCGGAGAAGAAGCCCAAGGCGGAGAAGCACGUGCCCGGGAAGGAGGGCGACACUAACAAGAAGAAGGCCAAGAAGAGCAAUGAGACAUACAAGAUCUACAUCUUCAAGGUGCUCAAGCAGAUUGACCCGAACAUGGGUAUCUCCUCCAAAUCAAUGUCCAUCAUCAACUCCAUCAUCAACGACAUCUUUGAGAGGCUCGCCGGCGAGUCGGCAAAGCUCGCACGCUACAACAAGAAGCCCACCAUCACCUCCCGGGAGAUCCAGACUGCCGUGCGCCUUGUCCUUCCAGGCGAGCUUGCCAAGCACGCCGUCUCCGAGGGAACCAAGGCCGUUACCAGAUUCACCGUGUAUUAG
Molecule: ribosomal RNA, 405 nt
Filed under: Triticum aestivum (bread wheat)
Lineage: Eukaryota; Viridiplantae; Streptophyta; Magnoliopsida; Poales; Poaceae
Description: partial small subunit ribosomal RNA
Source: RNAcentral